This 428-nucleotide ribosomal RNA is filed under the name Bacteroidota bacterium. Its description in RNAcentral is "Bacteroidetes bacterium partial 16S ribosomal RNA". It matches the Rfam family "Bacterial small subunit ribosomal RNA", at positions 355 to 776 of the family's 1533-position model. The record is from RNAcentral. Lineage: Bacteria; Pseudomonadati; Bacteroidota.
UAGGGAAUCUUCCGCAAUGGGCGAAAGCCUGACGGAGCAACGCCGCGUGAGUGAUGAAGGUCUUCGGAUCGUAAAACUCUGUUAUUAGGGAAGAAUAAAUGUGUAAGUAACUAUGCACGUCUUGACGGUACCUAAUCAGAAAGCCACGGCUAACUACGUGCCAGCAGCCGCGGUAAUACGUAGGUGGCAAGCGUUAUCCGGAAUUAUUGGGCGUAAAGCGCGCGUAGGCGGUUAGAAAAGUCUGAAGUGAAAGGCAGUGGCUCAACCAUUGUAGGCUUUGGAAACUGUUUAACUAGAGUGCAGAAGGGGAGAGUGGAAUUCCAUGUGUAGCGGUGAAAUGCGUAGAUAGAUGGAGGAACACAGGUGGCGAAAGCGGCUCUAUGGUCUGUAACUGACGAUGAGGCUCGAAAGCGUAGGGAGCGAACAGG